RNAcentral lists this long non-coding RNA (2452 nucleotides) under Neodiprion lecontei (redheaded pine sawfly). Its description in RNAcentral is "uncharacterized LOC124294000". Lineage: Eukaryota; Metazoa; Arthropoda; Insecta; Hymenoptera; Diprionidae. The record is from RNAcentral.
AUUCAUACUGCAUCUGGAACAAGGUCCAAUUACCAUGGCCGGACCAGCAACCAAACAAUUAUAUCAAACUUGAUGGAAAUGUUUCCAGCCCAGAACUCACCUCGUCGAUUUCAGACAGUGUCGCAGACGAGUAUUAAGAUCCAAGUGGCGGACUUACAAUCAGACAACCAAAGCCUGGGUGGUUUAUAUGUUCUUGUCAACCAGACUAACGCACAAGGUUUUGGGCGUUGCGAGGUGACUCCUGUCGUGACGGAAACCGUAGGGUGUCACUAGCUUCGAGUUUCCGAAAGAAGCGUUUCUUUUAACGAGUCAUCUCUAUUGUAAUUCGACGAAAAAUAUUAGCUUGUUUUUAAGAUUGCUGAGGUGAUUCAAAGCUUGCACUAUAUUGUACAGUAUUGGGAAUCGUACUCACUCUCAACAAUCCAUAGCCAAGAAUACAUCCGAUGCUGUGUCCUGGUAUGAAAAUACCCAUUGUGGAAAUAGUCGUUUUGCCAAAUACCACAGCAGCUAUCGUCACUGAUGGAUUAACAUGACGACCACUGAUGUGCUCAUAGAACUGCAAACAUCGAAACAACACCGUCCGAUUUUUCUCGCCAAAUUAUCCAAAACGUGACAAUUCUGCAUUUUAUACAUUCCAUUGCAGUGAACAAGUAAGAAGAAAGGCAUAAAUGAUGGUAAAAAAAAUCGAAAACUCCAAACUGUAAGAGCAACGACCAUGGAAAAACUGAAGAUAAUGGAAACUUGCAUACGGAGGGUGUGCUUGACAGCGCGCCAAAUCAGCUUAUGCAGCCGAUGAAGACGAGAAUGGGAGUUUCGAGGAUUUCGCCAGUGAACAUCAGAGCACUCUCGAAUGGGUACCUACGGAGUUUUCGUGGAACACGUAAUUUUUGUGGAACAGGAAAUGAUCCGCGGUUGUCAGCAACACUGAUACUAUAAAUACAGCAGACAUAGAUGCAGCGAAAAAAGCAAUCAUCAAAACAGCGCUUUCACGAUUUACAGAGCGCAGAUUCGAUCUAAAAUCGGAAAGUAGUCAACUCAUCAUAUUGCUGAAGAGGGAUUCAAAAUCACUAUUAUACUGGUAUGCAUGAAUUAUUGUUUCAAUUAUAUUUUCGUAUCACAUAGUCGGACAUUGUUUUUUAUUUGUUUCCUAACCUUGACAAAAUCUUAAUAUUAAAAUCACGUAUCUCGUUCUAGAACCAUUCUAGGUUCCCGAGUCGAAAUUUUAUAACCCUGUUAAGCCUCUUAACACUCUAUUGCUUCACAACUCGGAUUUGAUUCGAAUUUGUAUCUCAUUAACGUUUUUCAGAUCAUCACAGCUCACUAUGACACUUCAAUAGAACCUCGAAUCUGCGGAACUCAAGAAAAUAAAACUCAAGCAUUAUUUUUAGAGAUCUAAACCAGGAAUAUUGCAACUGCGACUUACGAGGAUCGAAUAAGAACCAAUUUGGAUCUCACUAAAGCCCCUGACAUGGGCACCAGGCCUUAGGAUUAGCACAAUUUUAAGGUUCAAUUGAAAUAUUUUUUACUCGGAAUUUUCCGUAAAUAUUCUUGAGGUCCUAAUGAGGUCUAAAAUUUCGUCUCGGGUUAUCUGUUAACCGUGCAAUAUUAUACUUAUGCCAAUUCUACAUUAAAGUAUAAAAUUUCCCUAUGAGCAUAGGCUUAGGUUAAAUAUAUAUAAUAUAAUGUGUCUCGAUAUCUUGUAGAAGAACUUCGAAUUGCAUAACCGGGUAUGAUUCGAAUGCAAUGCAAGUGCUGAGCGAGUGAAUUGACUGUCAGGAACUAGGACCAAACAGCGGGUGAGAAAUUUCACCCACCGAUUAUCGAAUGCCAUCGUCAGUCGACUCCUGCUCUCAUUGUCAAACACUCCUUCUACUUAUCACGACAUAUUUCAAAAUCGUACCUUUCGUUUCACACUUUCGGGAAUAAGACACCGUUUGUUGCAGUACAUACUAAUCAUAUUAAUAGUAUCACUAAUGUCGAUUUAUUGUAAUAAUAAUCACCUAUACAGUCAUCACAUUAUGAAAUUCAUGCACCGUCGUCGAGAAUAUCUAGUACCAGAACGUUCAUCCAAUACCCCUAAAUUUUUUUUUCAAUUCUAAACAAAUGUUCAAAAUUAUAAUAAUAAUCGUUGUCUUUAUGAUAGUUGUAGCAUUGGUAUUUAAAAUUGACAAUGGUAUAAUAAUAACACCAACACCAACAGUAUUAUUGAUAGUAAUUAUCAUAACAGUUAUAAUAUCUUUCUACGCUACGUAAUUCUAAUCACUGUUGCACCAGUAAGUAAUAAUAACAUUACAGUAAUUAACAGUACCUGGACGUGAUAAUGGUAUAAUAAUAUUAAUAACAUAGGUAUAGCGAUACAUGAAGUACGUAUAGUGGUUUGAAUUUUUAGUUUGUCAAUAAUAAAAUUACAUACAGUGGAGCACGUAUGUGCUUGGUCUACAUACGAUUACUG